CACGGGGGCAACCCUGGUGGCGAGUGGCGAACGGGUGAGUAAUAUAUCGGAACGACCCGGAAAUGGGGGAUAACGUAGCGAAAGUUACGCUAAUACCGCAUAUGCCCUAAGGGGGAAAGCGGGGGAUUCGCAAGAACCUCGCGUUUUCGGAGCGGCCGAUAUCGGAUUAGCUAGUAGGUGAGGUAAAGGCUCACCUAGGCGACGAUCCGUAGCUGGUCUGAGAGGACGACCAGCCACACUGGAACUGAGACACGGUCCAGACUCCUACGGGAGGCAGCAGUGGGGAAUUUUGGACAAUGGGCGCAAGCCUGAUCCAGCCAUGCCGCGUGAGUGAAGAAGGCCUUCGGGUUGUAAAGCUCUUUCAGCCGGAAAGAAAACGCGCGGGAUAAUACCCCGUGUGGAUGACGGUACCGGAAGAAGAAGCACCGGCUAACUACGUGCCAGCAGCCGCGGUAAUACGUAGGGUGCGAGCGUUAAUCGGAAUUACUGGGCGUAAAGCGUGCGCAGGCGGUUUUGUAAGACAGAUGUGAAAUCCCCGGGCUUAACCUGGGAACUGCAUUUGUAACUGCAAGGCUAGAGUACGGCAGAGGGGGGUAGAAUUCCACGUGUAGCAGUGAAAUGCGUAGAUAUGUGGAGGAAUACCGAUGGCGAAGGCAGCCCCCUGGGUCGAUACUGACGCUCAUGCACGAAAGCGUGGGGAGCAAACAGGAUUAGAUACCCUGGUAGUCCACGCCCUAAACGAUGUCAACUAGGUGUUGGGGGAGGGGACUUCCUUAGUACCGCAGCUAACGCGUGAAGUUG
Molecule: ribosomal RNA, 801 nt
Filed under: uncultured bacterium
Lineage: Bacteria
Description: bacterial SSU rRNA
Rfam family: Bacterial small subunit ribosomal RNA
Source: RNAcentral